UACGUAGGGUGCAAGCGUUGUCCGGAAUUAUUGGGCGUAAAGAGCUCGUAGGCGGUUUGUUGCGUCGGCUGUGAAAUCCCGAGGCUCAACCUCGGGUCUGCAGUCGAUACGAGCAAACUAGAGUGUUGCAGGGGAGACUGGAAUUCCUGGUGUAGCGGUGAAAUGCGCAGAUAUCAGGAGGAACACCGGUGGCGAAGGCGGGUCUCUGGGCAACAACUGACGCUGAGGAGCGAAAGCCAGGGGAGCAAACGGG
Molecule: ribosomal RNA, 253 nt
Filed under: uncultured bacterium
Lineage: Bacteria
Description: partial 16S ribosomal RNA
Rfam family: Bacterial small subunit ribosomal RNA
Source: RNAcentral